CAAAAACAUCGCCUCUUGAAUAAACUUAUAAGAGGUCCUGCCUGCCCAGUGAUGCAAGUUUUAACGGCCGCGGUAUUUUGACCGUGCAAAGGUAGCGCAAUCAAUUGUCCUUUAAAUGGAGACCUGUAUGAAUGGUAUUACGAAAACUCAACUGUCUCAUUCUUUUGACCAAUGAAAUUGAUCUCUCCGUGCGGAAGCGGGGAUAAAAACAUUAGACAAAAAGACCCUGUGGAGCUUUAGACUAGUCAGCUUAAAUUUUUAUAAGUUCUAUCUUAUAAUUUUAAAUUCUGCUUACGUCUUAGGUUGGGGCGAUCACGGAGAAAACAUAUCCUCCAUGAAGGAAAAUAUAAAUUUUAACAAUCUAAGAGCUACCGCUCUAAACACUAAAACAUUUAACUUUAUGAACCGGCUUGCCGAUUAACGAACCCAGUUACCCCAGGGAUAACAGCGCAAUCCCCUUAAAGAGCACUUAUCGCUAAGGGGGUUUACGACCUCGAUGUUGGACCAGGGCAUCCUAAUGGUGCAUCUACUGUUAAGGGUUCGUUUGUUCAACGAUUAAAGCCCUACGUGAU
This 572-nucleotide ribosomal RNA is filed under the name Hypsolebias ocellatus. RNAcentral describes it as "partial 16S ribosomal RNA". It matches the Rfam family "Bacterial large subunit ribosomal RNA", at positions 1808 to 2604 of the family's 2925-position model. The record is from RNAcentral. Lineage: Eukaryota; Metazoa; Chordata; Actinopteri; Cyprinodontiformes; Rivulidae.